UACAGAGGUGGCAAGCGUUGUCCGGAUUUACUGGGCGUAAAGAGCGCGCAGGCGGUCGUUCAAGUCGAGUGUGAAAGCCCCCGGCUCAACUGGGGAGGGUCACUCGAUACUGAUCGACUCGAAGGCAGGAGAGGGAAGUGGAAUUCCCGGUGUAGUGGUGAAAUGCGUAGAUAUCGGGAGGAACACCAGUGGCGAAGGCGACUUCCUGGCCUGUUCUUGACGCUGAGGCGCGAAAGCUAGGGGAGCAAACGGG
Molecule: ribosomal RNA, 253 nt
Filed under: uncultured bacterium
Lineage: Bacteria
Description: partial 16S ribosomal RNA
Rfam family: Bacterial small subunit ribosomal RNA
Source: RNAcentral